AUCGAUCACCUUUUGCCCCUCGUAUUUCGUGCGCGGGACGAAUCGAAAGGCCGCCCUCGCGUCCCACGCCUCCCUCUCUUCGUCGUGUGAUGUCGUGGUCCGCGAGUGGCAGCUCGGAUUCUCGAAUGUGGUAGACGCAGUGGGCAUGGGGCCUUCAUCGUCUCCUAUCUGCCCCGUACGACGCUCCUUGCAAAUGUCGGUCACGCUCGCCUUGAAUCCGUCUGCGCCCUCACGGGCUGGCCGGGCUCAUGCGAUGCCGGCGUCGAUAAGGAAUGCUACCUGGUUGAUCCUGCCAGUAGUCAUAUGCUUGUCUCAAAGAUUAAGCCAUGCAUGUGUAAGUAUGAACAAAUUCAGACUGUGAAACUGUGAAUGGCCUGCCAUGGUGGUGUCUUUGUCAAGAUGUUGCUUUUAGGAUUCCGCCGGCACCUUAUGAGAAAUCAAAGUUUUUGGGCUCCGGGGGGAGUGUGGUCACAAGGCUGAAACUUAAAGGAAUUGACGGAAGGGCACCAGCAUGAGUGGAGCCUGCGGCUUAAUUUGACUCAACACGGGGAAACUUACCAGGUCCAGACAUAGUAAGGAUUGACAUACAGAGAGCUCUUUCUUGAUUCUAUGGGCGGUGGUGCAUGGCCGUUCAUAGUUGGUGAAGCGAUUUGUCUGGUUAAUUCCGUUAACGAACGAGACCUCAGCCUGCUAACUAGCUAUGCGGAGGUAUCCCUUCGCGGCCAGCUUCUUAGAGGGACUACGGCCUUUUAGGCCGCGGAAGUUUGAGGCAAUAACAGGUCUGUGAUGCCCUUAUAUGUUCUGGGCCGCACGCGCGCUACACUGAUGUAUUCAACGAGUCUAUAGCCUUGGCCGACAGGCCCGGGUAAUCUUUGAAAUUUCAUCGUGAUGGGGAUAGAUCAUUGAAAUUGUUUGUCUUCAUUGAGGAAUUCCUAGUAAGCGCGAGUCAUCAGCUCGCGUUUACUACGUACCUUCCCUUUGUACACACCGCCCAUCGCUCCUACCGAUUGAAUGAUCCGGUGAAAUGUUCGGAUUGCAGCGACGUGGGCGGUUCGCUGCCCGCGACGUCGCGAGAAGUCCAUUGAACCUUAUCAUUUUGAGGAAGGAUUAGUCGUAGCAAGGUUUCCGUAGGUGAACCUGCGGAAG
Molecule: ribosomal RNA, 1146 nt
Filed under: Capsicum baccatum
Lineage: Eukaryota; Viridiplantae; Streptophyta; Magnoliopsida; Solanales; Solanaceae
Description: SSU rRNA
Rfam family: Eukaryotic small subunit ribosomal RNA (bases 277-1146)
Source: RNAcentral